UCUCUGGUGGCUCAGACGGUAAAGCGUCUGCCUGCAAUGCAGGAGACCCAGGUUCGUUUCCUGGCUCGGGAA
Molecule: transfer RNA, 72 nt
Organism: Ovis aries (sheep)
Lineage: Eukaryota; Metazoa; Chordata; Mammalia; Artiodactyla; Bovidae
Rfam family: tRNA
About the family: Transfer RNA (tRNA) molecules are approximately 80 nucleotides in length. Their secondary structure includes four short double-helical elements and three loops (D, anti-codon, and T loops).
Source: Rfam